CUGGUGUGAAGGUCCUGGUGUUCUGCUUCAUUGAUUGACUGUGCCUGCAAGGCUCAGCACAUGGGUGGCCUGUCGUGUUGGGAAACCCUUCUUCAGAGAGCUGGCAGGGCAGCCGAUACCCCAUUGCCGCGAGAAUCAGAUGCUGUGCUCUGAGGGAACUUGGUGUGUCUGCCAACAUCACAUCUUCCCUUUGGCCUAACCACAGGCUGGCUUUUGUGAGUAUUUGCAGAGUGUAGAUGGGGUUUGCACAUGAAUAGGGAAGAGUCGAAAGGAGUUUUCUCCUCAACAAGCUUUAUGGACCAGGUAGCUCCUGGGUGAAACAGCAUCAGUGGCAUUUGCUGAUUUUUGACAUUCAGGAGGGAAGUGGCCACCAUGGACAGUUAUGGUUGGUGGAAGGCGCCUGGUCUGCAGUCUAGCAUGAGCUCUCAAGGUCUUCUUUUGUGGCUUUUGCUGGAUGUGAGAACUACUCUUUCAGAUCAGCAAAAGACUUUAUAAAUUAUUUUAACUGUGCCCCAAUGUAGCUGUAGGAGAAUUACUGCCUUUAGAAGGUGUGGUACUGUAUCUUCCACUUAGUGGAGGCAGUUGGGAACAUAAAAUAUAUGUAAUCCACGAGCUUGUAUUUGUUCACACCUCACUUUCUGGUGUUGAUCACUGAAACAUUAUACUUGCUUGGUCUGGACUGUCUAAAAGUCAUUUUGGUUAUUCACAGCUUAUAAGGGCAGCUACAGAGUAAAACAAGAGUGCAGUAAAGCAUGAAUAUGUGUAUAGAGAUAGUAAAUAUUAGAUAUUUAAGAAGGAAAACUUACAAUGAUGCAGGUCAAAAGGUGCAGUAAGGGAGUGUUCUGUGCAUAUCCUGCAGAUAACAUCUAGCAGUACUGGCCUAAUUUAGAAAAGUGCAAAGAGAAGAAUCUUGCUUUGAAAAAUCUGCAAAAUCCAUGUUUAUGAAAUGAUAAGAAGAAUUGGCCUCUGAGUAGGAAAUGAGCAUUUUCUUGAAACAGAUACUGUUUAAGAUAAAACCUUCACAAAAGGAUCAUUUAAUAUCGAAGAGUCAUAGAUCCCUGGGAUAUUCUUCUGUGUUUUGAUAUCUGUUUCACAAAAUGAAAAGAUGAAGACGUUAAUAUAAAGGCAAGACAAAAGUCCUUUAUUUCUUUAUAUCACUGGUGGAUAAUUUCUAAUAGUGUUGCAGGAUAGUGAAAUGCUAUCUCAGUUCAAUAAAAAAGCCUGAGCAAAGAAAGAUAAUUCUUAACAAAAUCAGUUGCAAACUCAUUCCCUGUAGUGUCUGAAUUCUUGAAAAUGUAUUUUACUUUAAUAUAAAAGUAUCCUAAAAUGUGUAUUAUUGAAAAAGGCUCCUGCUUCUGAGGGGCAGCUGUCAUCAUCCUCUGGGUCACUCCUUAGCAAAUCCAUAAUCCUUGGCCUCUGAUUUUUUAAAUAUAAUUUUUCUUAGUGUUUAAUGUGACUUUCCAUUUGUUUUCUGUCACACAAGCCCUUGGUUCCUAUGGAAGCUAUUGUGGGAGUCCUUUACAGUGCAGUUGAUGCAAUUUUCUUUUGAAAAAGCUGUCUUUCAAAGCUUUUCCUGUGCUGACAUCCCUUUGGAUGGGGCACAGAAACUGGUUUGUAUUGGUAGGGACUCAUCCUUUGGAGAGGUCACACUCUGAGCAGUUCAGGAGGGCAAACAUUGUCCCAGAGCACACUUAGUGAAUUUGGGGACAGUCAGGUUCUGUUCCCUGGCUGUGGGUGCUGGGUGAAGGAGAUGGGAACUUUUCCUGCUGGCUGGAGAUGAAGGGGUUGAUAUAAAAGAAAGGUCACUGAAACUGCUUAAGCCUUAGCUUGAGAUUCUGCUUCUUGAAAUUUUACUUAGAAAAUGAGAAUGACAUUAGCUAGAAAGGUUAGAGCAGUCAGAUGCCUUUAAAUAAAUGCUUCUUCUUUGUCUUUUCUUACAGUGGUAGUUUUUUUUUUUUUGGGAAAAAAAAGACAUAAUGAGAACAAAAGAACUGAUUUUAAUACUAAUUUCUUCUUUGCUUUUUGCAUUGGUGGUGGGCUCAUUUUGACUGAUCAGGGUGAGAGACAAAAACAUUUUGAAGGAAAAAAUGUCAUUGUAUUAUCUGAAAGGUAUGGCAGAAAGACCAGUAAGUGUCACAGCAAAAAGGACUUGGGCUUGCACAGCUGCAUGAAAUCAGCCCAGAGAAACUCUUGACUCCCUCAGUCCCUGUGCCAGAAAGUCAGCAUUACCAGACUGCUGGCACUGAUCAUCACAACAGGUGUGGGGAUAAGAACAAGUGAUUUUUAGCUAUUCCUAGAUGUAAAAGGCUCUUGCCAAAUAACCAAUGAAGCUGCUAAUACUGUUUUAUGUGUGGUUUGGUGAGUAGGGUUAAUAUUACAGAGGAACUGGAGGUAGUAUUUCAAACUGAGGAGAAGUGCUUGCAGAACAGACUACUCAGCCCAGUCAAACAAAGAACUUUUGGAGGUAGUUAGAAGCAAGCAGUGCAUUUUCCAUGCAGAUUAGAAGAAAGAGCAGAAGCCUCAAUAAAGAAGUGUCUAAAAGUCAGGAACAGAGACCCAUAGUAAAAAAAAAAAACCCGAGUCCUGCUUGGUUACCAUAAAAGAGAUGUGCCAGUAGUAAAGGUUUUUUUUUUUAGAAUGUAAGAGAUUGUAUUUGCUCUGCAGAGAUAGAAGAGCAGAGAACCAAAAUUAUUAAAUGAAAAAUAUGCUUCAUCUGUCAGUGAUGUCUGUUGAAAGAAAGAGGAGUACUGAAAGUGAAGCUUGGGAGUGGAGCAUAGCACAACCAAGAGGACUCAAGUGAGUGAAUAGGGAAUGUUUCUCUGAUUAUUAACAGAAUCUUAAAGUGAAUGAAAUAGUAGAUCUGACAAGGAUUUUUAGUGACUAUCAAGUCAGUCAAAUUGGUGACUGUCCUUAAAGAAACACACAGCCAGAAACAUAGUACCCAGUUUUAAGAACGGGUAGAAAAAUGUGGUCUAGGCAAUAUGAAUUCAUUAA
Long non-coding RNA from Taeniopygia guttata (zebra finch), 2994 nucleotides. The record is from Ensembl. Lineage: Eukaryota; Metazoa; Chordata; Aves; Passeriformes; Estrildidae.